GUGCUGUGAGUUUAACACUUCAUGACUGAGAUCAGAACAGAACAGAAUCUUCAUCAUCACACAAAUCAAAAGAACAACAAUGACUUUAAUCAUCAUCUUCAUCUGGACACUCACAGUCUUUACUCAAGUGUGUAGAGGACAGUACACUCUUACUCAGAGUCCAUCAAUAACAGUUCAACCAGGACAACAAGUUCAAAUAAACUGUAAAGUCAGCAGUGCAGUGUGUGGUGGUAAUUACUUAGCCUGGUACUUACAGAAACCUGGAGAAGCUCCUAAACUCCUCAUAUAUUAUGUAAAAACCCUUCAGUCAGGAACUCCAUCAAGAUUCAGUGGCAGCGGAUCAAACACAGAUUUCACUUUGACCAUCAGUGGAGUUCAGACUGAAGAUUCAGGAGAUUAUUACUGUCAGAGUUAUCACUGUAGUAGCACAGCAGUGUAGACACAGUGAUAAAGAGUGAUACAAAAACCUCUUUCAGUCAGACUCACAGUGACUGCACUCAUACACCUGACAGUAGAUGCAAAGUCCUUUAUUAACUUCACAUUUUGUACUAUUCUAUUUAAAUGACAACUUUAUGUAAUGUAAUUAAUUAUUUAUUUACUUUUUUUUCCUUUGUAAUGCUUUAUUCAAAAAGGCAUUAUUUUAUUGUCUAAUAUUAUUUAUUUAUUUUAUUGUAUAAUUCAUAAUAUUUUUAAAACUUUUCAUGUAGAGAAACAUCAGUCAGUAUCAUUGACCACAUUUACAUGCACCCUUAUGAUGUGAUUAUAAUGUGAUUUUGGCAAUAUUGCGAUUAUACUUCAUGUGUAAGGUUAAAAAUGUAGUAAUUUAUUAUUCUGUCACAACCUUCAUUUCUGACCUGUACCAUCUGCAUUCCUGUGCUCACUGAUCGUUAAA
Misgurnus anguillicaudatus (oriental weatherfish) is the source of this 892-nucleotide non-coding RNA. Lineage: Eukaryota; Metazoa; Chordata; Actinopteri; Cypriniformes; Cobitidae. The record is from the annotation of a RefSeq genome assembly.